Acinonyx jubatus (cheetah) is the source of this 5893-nucleotide long non-coding RNA. RefSeq lists it as uncharacterized. NCBI's taxonomy places the organism in Eukaryota, Metazoa, Chordata, Mammalia, Carnivora, Felidae. The transcript is spliced from 2 exons. The record is from RefSeq and is a predicted model, not a curated record.
CAACAUUUAAACACUGGAAAUCUAUGCUAUUUGAGUUUCAUACCUCUCAGUGGAAGUCUCAAACCUUGGAAAGGACAUCUUAAUGUAAACACUUAAAUCUUUUUUGAGCAGGAAUAAGGUGUUCUUUCUUACCUGUAUGUUAAUGGUUGUGAUUAAAGCUUUAUUUAUAACACAUGUGGUAAUAAAUCUUUCUCCUAUAAAGCAACAUAUUAUCACUUUUAGUAAAGUUAAAAAAAUGUUUUUGGGGACACCUGGGAUUCUCUCUCUCCCUCUCUCUCUGCUUGGCAUUCUCUUUCUCUGCUCCUUUCCCACUCUCAAAAUAAAUAAAUAAAACUUAAAUGUUUUGGGGGGCACCUGGUUAUCUCAGUUGGUUAAGCGUUGACGUCAGCUCAGGUUGUGAUCUCGUGGUUCAUGAGUUCAAGCUGCAUCGGGCUCCCUGCUGUCAGCAUGGAACCUGCUUUGGAUCCUCUGUCCACCCCCUCUCUCUGCCCCUCCCCUGCUCGUGCCUGUGUGCGCUCUCUCUCAAAAAUAAACAUUGGGGCAUCUGGGUGGCUCAGUUGGUUAAGCAUCCGACUUCAGCUCAGGUCAUUAUCUUGUGGUUUGUGAGUUUGAGCCCUGCGUUGGACUGUGCUGACAGCUCAGAGCUUGGAGCCUGCUUUGGAUUCUGUCUCCUUCUCUCUCUGCCCCUCCUCUGCUCCCACUCUGUCUUUCUCUCAAAUAAAUAAAUAAAUAAAUAAAUAAAUAAAUAAAUAAAUAAAGUUUUUGGAUCAUUUGAGUGAAAAAUGCUAAGGAUUCAGUAGUUAAGAUGAAUUAAAGAAUUAAUUGAAAACCUUUCUUAAGUGGUAUUUGGUAAUAAAAUACCUUACCAUUAAAGUAACAUUUUGGGAAAAAAAAUAAUUUUUAGACAUAUCUAUGAGAGACAAAAUUGUUCAGCUAAUAGUCAUUUUGGAGCUUUGCUGCUACUUAAUUGGAAGGGCUAAUGGAAAUAAAGGAGUGUCUGGUAAUCAUUAUCAUCCUUUGGUGUGAUCAUUAAUAGACUAUUAUACUCUGUUUUAAAGUUUUCAUGUUAAAUUUUAGCUGCAUUUUAUUAUUUUUUUUUAAGUUUAUUUUGAGAGAGAGAGCAAGCACAUGUGGGGAAGGGGCAGAGAGAAAGAGGGAGAGAGAAUCCCAAGCAGGCUCUGCAUUACCAGUGCAGAGCCUGAUGUGGGGCUCAAAUUGACAUAGAGCGAGAUCAUAACCUGAGCCAAAGUCAGAGACUUAGCCAACUGAGCCACUCAGGUGCCCCUUAGCCGCAUUUUAAAUUGCAAAACUGAGAUGUAAAAAUUUCAGCUCAUCCUUGGUGGUAUCUGACUUAGGUAUUUUUAUAAUCUACCUAAUUAUUCAGAUACAUGCACAGAGUACUUUUAGUUUUAUUUAUUUGAUACAAACUAGAUUUUUAUCAAGAAAUUUGUUUCUUGAGUCUUUAUUAUUAGAAAAGCGUACAACUUGGUAACUAGAUCUCUAGACUGGUGACAGAAAGAUACACUGUAUAAGCUGGCCAAGGCAAUGUGCAUUUUCUAUGAUCAUUAUUAGAUUUAUUGAAUGUGAACAAUUGAUGAGAUUUUGUGCAGUCUAGACAGUGUUAGCCCAACAGACUGAAACAAAUGAAAUAAAUACUGGGAGACAAUUUAAGAAUUUAUUCAACAAUUACCUAUAUAAUCCUUGCUAAAAAUGUUUAAUCUGGAUCAAGUUAUAAUAAACAAUCAGACAAAUCCAGUUUGUGGGAUUUCUCUAAAACAACUGGUCUGAACUCUUCGAAAAUGUCAAGGUGAUAAAAAAUAUAAAAGGCAGAGAGACUAUUAUAGAUGAAAGAAAAUGAAAGAGAAAUGACAAGUAUAUUGCCAAGCCUGGAUUGGGAAAAUAAAAAGCUGUACAGGCCAUUUUGGAGACAACUGAGGAAAUUUGAAUAUGGAGUAUAUAAUAGAUAAUAACAUGUCAGUGUUAAAUGUCCGGAUCUGAUGAUAAUGGUAUUGUGCUUAUAAAGGAGAAUGUUCUUAUUCUUAGCCAAUACCUGAUGUAGUAUUUACAUUGAAAUGUCAUGAUGUCAGCAAUUUGCUUUCAAAUGGUUCAGAAAAAAAAAUUAUGUAUUUGUUGAGAGAGAGUAAAAGUAGCAAAAUGUUCACCAUGUUGAAAAGGUAAGGAGCAAAUGUGUAUUCAUUUAACUAUUCUUUUACUUUUUUUUUUAAGGUGCGCCCCAGAUUUUUAAAAAGCUUUUAUUUAUUUGUUUUGAGAGAGAGGGAGAAAGCCCAAGUUUGAACAGGGGGUGGGGCAGAGGGAGAGGGAGACUGAGAGUCCCAAGCAGACAAAGAAUCCCAAGCAGGUUCUGUGCCCCCAGCGCAGAGCCGGACAUGGGUCUCAAACGCCAUCCAGGCGCCCCAAGAUUUUAUUUUUAAGUAAUCUCUACACCCAGCGCGGCCUUGAACUCACAACUCACAAAAAAUCAAGAGUUGCACACUCCACCCACUGAGCCAGCCAGGUACCCCUAAUCUUUUACUUUCUUAUAGGAUUUCAGUUUUUCAAAAUACAAAGUUGGGGAGAGAAAGGCUUCGGAAAGGCUACCAUCGUAUUUAAGGAUUCAGUAGUGUCUUAGGGAAAGCUUAAAAGAAGAAAACUUUAAAGUAUAUUAUACCUGAUGUGAAGUAGAGGUAACUUCUUUAGCAGAACAAGAGGUUAUUGCAGUUACAUAGGGUUUGGAAAAACAUGCAGAAAUGAGGAUGGAGAAAAACAAAGUGUAUUUGAUUAAGGAGUAGACAGGGUGGGUAAGACUAGAAACCUCAAAGAAUUGAAAGAGGUAAAACAAAAAAGAGGAAGAGAGAUAGCUGAAAACUACUAGGGCAAUUGAUGGUGAUUCUAUUAAGGGAAUAGCAAGAUUAUUUUGAUGGCUAUAUGUUUUUAAAAACCCAAAGCUUAAUUGGCUUAUAAAUGUAACUCAAUUAUAGGUAAUUGAGGGGCGCCUGGGGGCUCAGUCAGUUGAGUGUCCGACUUCGGCUCAGGUCAUGAUCUCACGGCUUGUGAGUUCGAGCCCCGCGGUGGGCUCUGUGCUGACAGCUCAGAGCCUGGAGCCUGCUUCGGAUUCUGUGUGUCCCUCUCUCUCUGCCCCUUUCCCACUUGUACUCUGUCUCUCUCUCAAAAGUAAAUAAAGCAUUAAAAAAAUUAAAAGAAUUAUAGACAAUUGAAACAUCGUACAAAUAGAAAUUGUGGAAAGUGAGACCUGUUUUAAUUUUAUUGAAGAGAUUAUGAAAAAAGUGGGAAAAGGUGGCAUAGGGAUAAAACAAAUAUUCAAAAGCACUAAUAAGCAGAGGAGAUAGAAAGGAUUUUCUAAGUGUAUUUCCCCAUCCCUGUUAAUCACACCACUUACCCAUUUAGUCACUGGCUCAGAUGACAAGCCUGGGAGUCAGGCCAGACCCUGUCCUGUCCCUUGCACUUCACAUCCAGUUCUUCCAGACUCAGUUCUAUGGACUUUUGGUUUGCACAUAGCCUUCUACUUCAUCUCCCUCUCUGACUUCUUGUUUAUACCAUUGCAGUAGCCUUGUGCUAGGGCUAUUUAAUCUAAUGUCCAUAUUGCCAUCAUGAUCUGUAGAUAAUGUAAAGGAUUAUUCUUAUGCUUGAAAUCCUUCAUGAGCCUGUUCUGCCCACAGAAUGAACUCUAAACUCUGUUGAUCUAUAGUUCCCCUCAUGCUAAACUGUGUGUUACUUUCUCCUCUCAUUUCAUACCCCUGUUCCCAAACUUUACUACUGCUUGUGGUCCCUAGAAUGCCAUGAAAUUUUAUAUCUGUGAAUGGGUUCUUUGUAUUAUUUUUAUAUAGACUCUUGUGCCCCAACUUGACCAGCUCCUAUUUCUCUUUCAAGAUUUAGCUAAGAGGACAUCUGAGAAGCAUUUUCUCUUUUACUAAGAGGCUGUCUAGAAUAAUGGUUUUUAGAACACAGGCUUGGAAGUCAGACAUACUUGGAUUCAAAUGCUGCGUCUUUUAGUAGCAGUAUGACCUUGGACCAGUCACUUAAUCUUGUUUUUCCUCAGCUUCUCUAUCUGAAGAAAAGGGAUAAUAUAACCCACUUUACAGGAUAGUUGUAAAGAUUAAAUAAACUCCACAAACAGUGAUAGGGGCCUAGUAAGUGCUCAAUGUAUGUUAGCUGCUAUCAUCAUCAUUAGAAGGGUUAGAUACUGGGGCCCCUGGGUGGCUCAGUUUGUUAAGCAUCUGACUCGUUUUCUUUUUUUAAUAUUUAUUUAUUUCUGGGGAGAGCGCAAGCAGGGGAGGGACAGAGAGAGGGGGACAGAGGAUCUGAAGCAGGCUCUGCACUGACAGCCUGACAGCAGCAAGCCCAAUGUGAUGCUGGAACUCAUGAACCAGGAGAUCAUGACCUGAGUGGAAGUGGGUCGCUCAACCAACUGAGCCACCCAGGUGCCCUGCGUCUGACUCUUGAGUUUGGCUCAGGUCAUGAUCUCGCAAGUUAUUGAGUUUGAGCCCUGCUUUGGGUUCAUAUAUGUAUGUGUACAUAUAUUUGUGUACAUAUAUGUAUAUAUAAAAAUAUAUAUAUAUAUAUGAAGGGUUAGAUAUUGCUCCUAUGAACAGUCUCAUUGCUUUUCAAAUUUCUCUAAAUAUUUUUGUUAUUUAUUUACAUUAAACUAUUCUCUUCAAGGGCAAGAACUGUGCAUUAUUAAUGCUGGAUACAGUGCCUAGCACAUAAAUGCUUAGUAAAUGUUUAAGUAAGUGAAAGCUUAAGAAGCUUAUUUUAUGGAAGAUAGUGUAGAAAAGGGCACAGGCUCUGCUAAUUACUAGCUCUGAUACUUUUUUAUUUAUUUUCCUUGCUUGAAGUUUAUUAUUUUUAAAAAGAAUUUUUUAAAUGUUUAUUUAUUUUUGAGAGAGAGAGAGAGACAGAAUGAGCAGGGGAGGGGCAGAGAGAGAGGGAGACACAGAAUCUGAAGCAGGCUCCAGGCUCUGAACUGUCAGCACAGAGCCCAACGCGGGGCUCGAACCCAUGAACCGUGAGAUCAUGACCUGAGCUGAAGUCUGACGCUUAACCGACUGGGCCACCCAGGUGCCUCUAUUACUAUUUUUUUUUAAGUUUAUUUAUUUUGAGAGACAGAGCGAGCAGAGGAAGGGGCAGGGAGAGAAAGGGAGAGAGAGAAUCCCCAGCAUUCUCUGCAGUGUUAGAGUGGAGCCCCGAUGUGGGACUCAAACUCAUGAACCUUGAGAUCAUGACCUGAACCAAAAUCAAGAGUCAGAUGCCUAGCUGACUGAGCCACCCAGGUGCCCUUCCUUGCUUUGAGUUUAAAAUGAGUGAUAACAGGGGGCGCUUGGGUGGCUCAGUCAGUUGAGUGUCUGACUUUGACUCAGGUCAUGAUCUCACAGUUCAUGAGUUUGAGCCCCACGACCGGGCUCUGUGCUGACCGCUCAGAGCCUAGAGCUUGCUUUGGAUUGAUUCUGUGUCUCCCUCUCUGCCCCUCCCCUAUUGUAUGUAAAGCAUAGUACCUCUAGUGGGUGCUUAAUAAAUGUUAGCUGUUCUUUAUUAAAGGAGUUAAUCUUGAGUCUUAGUGAGAUUUGAUAGCAGAUCUGUUUGACUUUAAGUGGCAUAUGUGAAAUGAAUGUUUAAGAGUGUUGUAUUUUAUGUUUCCCAACUGUAGUCUCCUUAGGACUUUUGAAAGGAUUUAAACCUAAAAUGCUUGAUAAGGAAAUUUCCUUUGGGGCAUCUGGGUGGCUCAGUAAUUAAGCUUGUGCCUUUGUCUUGGAUCAUAAUCUCAGGGUUCAUGAGUUCUAGCCCCGCAUCAGGCUUUCAGUGCAGAUCCUGCUUCGGAUCCUCUGUCCCCUUCUCUCUCUGCCCCUCCCUUGCUUGUGCUCUCUCCGCCUCUCAAAAA